AGAGCACACACACUGAGGAUAGAGAGAAGGUGGCCAUGUACAAGACAAGAAGAGAGUCCUUUCCAGAAAUGGACUCAGCUGGCACCUGGAUCUUGGACUUUCCAUCUUCAAGAACUCCAGCUACCCUCUGGGAAGCAUACGCAGCAGCCUGAUGGAGAGAUCCACACGAUGGUUUUGUGAACAGCCAUCAAGGAAUGGAAGUCUCCAGAAACAGCACAUGAAUCACAUCAGCAAGUGCAGACCAUUCUACGUUUAAAAUAUAUCCCAACCUGUCCAUCUCUUCUUAUCACCUCUACCAACACUACAGUCCAAGACACCAUCUUCUGUAGCCUGGACUAUGGGUGGAGUCUCCUGCUUUGCACAUCUACACAGAAGAAGAUGGACAACUCCAAGCCGAUGGACAACUGCAAGCCAGCCUCCAGCCAGAAGCAUGGAGUAUCACACUCUCAACCCCAUGUAGUCUGCCUCAUCCUACAAUUCCAGCUGCAUCUGGCUUUACUCUUCUCCGUGCUUACUCCUUUCAGACCUUUUUUUUUUUUUUUUUUUUUUCAGUUUCUGUAAUGUGUGCAUUUCCUAGAUCAUGCUCCUUUGAAAUGACUUAGGAGCAAAUUGGUGGUGGGAGGCAGGCUGGUGAUGUGAAAGGAAUGAGGGCAUGAGAAGAAUGAGGAAGAAAAGAAAGGGAAAACUCAGAGAGUGCAUUUUUGGAGAUUGGUGUUCCGGACAAUGUGUCCAGGACCUCUGAGAAGUAUACAGAACGCCUCUCAGAGAUGUUAACCUGAAGGAGGGUGGCUGGGGCAUCUGUUUACCAGCUCUUGUCCCCCCCAGUUGAGGGUUGCCUGGCAGGGGGUGGGAGUGGGGAAGAGCGUCAAUACUCCUGCAUUUCUGGGCUGUAUUUGUGCCGCUGUCAGAGAAAGCAGAAAGAUGCUCAGAGGCUUGCAGUGGGUGGAUAUCAGCUGGAGGUGAGUCUGACUGUCCACCACAGCUUUGGCUGAAAUUGAGGAGGGCUGAGGGGAGGGAACGUGGGGCACCAGAUGUGUCUCCAGCUCCAAGAUCUUCUUGCAUUGGUGACUUUGCGCAUGCUAGUCCUUCCGCUGGCUUUUUCCUCCUCCCUCCUCUGUGAGUAGCUGAAUCCCUUCUACAGUCUUAGGUCUCACCUUGCUAUCCUGUCUUCAGAGAUGCCUUCUCCUGUCUCCCAGUCUACAUUGUGUCUCCUUAGCGAGUCUUUCUCAUAGCACCUGCAGUGUAUGUGCCAGGAGUCAUGAUUCUCUAUUUGUGUGUUCUAGGUUGCAUCUGUCAUUCACACAGGGCUGUCAUUCUCUGACAUUUUUGUUUAUCUCUGUACACCCAGUGCCUAGCAGUCCAUCUGCAACACAGUAGGUGAGCAACCGAUGAGUAAAAAUGAGGACAGAUUAUAAACCUAAACAUGUAACCGAG
RNAcentral lists this long non-coding RNA (1434 nucleotides) under Sus scrofa (pig). RNAcentral describes it as "lncRNA (ENSSSCG00000042913.1)". The record is from RNAcentral. Lineage: Eukaryota; Metazoa; Chordata; Mammalia; Artiodactyla; Suidae.